Molecule: ribosomal RNA, 372 nt
Filed under: uncultured bacterium
Lineage: Bacteria
Description: bacterial SSU rRNA
Rfam family: Bacterial small subunit ribosomal RNA
Source: RNAcentral
GUAGGGUGCAAGCGUUGUCCGGAAUUAUUGGGCGUAAAGAGCUCGUAGGCGGUUUGUCGCGUCUGCUGUGAAAACCCGAGGCUCAACCUCGGGCCUGCAGUGGGUACGGGCAGACUAGAGUGCGGUAGGGGAGAUUGGAAUUCCUGGUGUAGCGGUGGAAUGCGCAGAUAUCAGGAGGAACACCAAUGGCGAAGGCAGAUCUCUGGGCCGUAACUGACGCUGAGGAGCGAAAGCAUGGGGAGCGAACAGGAUUAGAUACCCUGGUAGUCCAUGCCGUAAACGUUGGGAACUAGAUGUGGGGACCAUUCCACGGUCUCCGUGUCGCAGCUAACGCAUUAAGUUCCCCGCCUGGGGAGUACGGCCGCAAGGCUA